GAUGAACGCUGGCGGCGUGCCUAAUACAUGCAAGUCGAGCGAACGGACGAGAAGCUUGCUUCUCUGAUGUUAGCGGCGGACGGGUGAGUAACACGUGGAUAACCUACCUAUAAGACUGGGAUAACUUCGGGAAACCGGAGCUAAUACCGGAUAAUAUUUUGAACCGCAUGGUUCAAAAGUGAAAGACGGUCUUGCUGUCACUUAUAGAUGGAUCCGCGCUGCAUUAGCUAGUUGGUAAGGUAACGGCUUACCAAGGCAACGAUGCAUAGCCGACCUGAGAGGGUGAUCGGCCACACUGGAACUGAGACACGGUCCAGACUCCUACGGGAGGCAGCAGUAGGGAAUCUUCCGCAAUGGGCGAAAGCCUGACGGAGCAACGCCGCGUGGGUGAUGAAGGUCUUCGGAUCGUAAAACUCUGUUAUUAGGGAAGAACAUAUGUGUAAGUAACUGUGCACAUCUUGACGGUACCUAAUCAGAAAGCCACGGCUAACUACGUGCCAGCAGCCGCGGUAAUACGUAGGUGGCAAGCGUUAUCCGGAAUUAUUGGGCGUAAAGCGCGCGUAGGCGGUUUUUUAAGUCUGAUGUGAAAGCCCACGGCUCAACCGUGGAGGGUCAUUGGAAACUGGAAAACUUGAGUGCAGAAGAGGAAAGUGGAAUUCCAUGUGUAGCGGUGAAAUGCGCAGAGAUAUGGAGGAACACCAGUGGCGAAGGCGACUUUCUGGUCUGUAACUGACGCUGAUGUGCGAAAGCGUGGGGAUCAAACAGGAUUAGAUACCCUGGUAGUCCACGCCGUAAACGAUGAGUGCUAAGUGUUAGGGGGUUUCCGCCCCUUAGUGCUGCAGCUAACGCAUUAAGCACUCCGCCUGGGGAGUACGACCGCAAGGUUGAAACUCAAAGGAAUUGACGGGGACCCGCACAAGCGGUGGAGCAUGUGGUUUAAUUCGAAGCAACGCGAAGAACCUUACCAAAUCUUGACAUCCUUUGACAACUCUAGAGAUAGAGCCUUCCCCUUCGGGGGACAAAGUGACAGGUGGUGCAUGGUUGUCGUCAGCUCGUGUCGUGAGAUGUUGGGUUAAGUCCCGCAACGAGCGCAACCCUUAAGCUUAGUUGCCAUCAUUAAGUUGGGCACUCUAAGUUGACUGCCGGUGACAAACCGGAGGAAGGUGGGGAUGACGUCAAAUCAUCAUGCCCCUUAUGAUUUGGGCUACACACGUGCUACAAUGGACAAUACAAAGGGCAGCGAAACCGCGAGGUCAAGCAAAUCCCAUAAAGUUGUUCUCAGUUCGGAUUGUAGUCUGCAACUCGACUACAUGAAGCUGGAAUCGCUAGUAAUCGUAGAUCAGCAUGCUACGGUGAAUACGUUCCCGGGUCU
RNAcentral lists this ribosomal RNA (1372 nucleotides) under uncultured bacterium. RNAcentral's name for it is "bacterial SSU rRNA". It matches the Rfam family "Bacterial small subunit ribosomal RNA", at positions 28 to 1381 of the family's 1533-position model. The record is from RNAcentral.